UACGAAGGGGGCUAGCGUUGCUCGGAAUCACUGGGCGUAAAGGGUGCGUAGGCGGGUCUUUAAGUCAGGGGUGAAAUCCUGGAGCUCAACUCCAGAACUGCCUUUGAUACUGAAGAUCUUGAGUUCGGGAGAGGUGAGUGGAACUGCGAGUGUAGAGGUGAAAUUCGUAGAUAUUCGCAAGAACACCAGUGGCGAAGGCGGCUCCCUGGCCCGAUACUGACGCUGAGGCACGAAAGCGUGGGGAGCAAACAGG
This 253-nucleotide ribosomal RNA is filed under the name uncultured bacterium. RNAcentral's name for it is "partial 16S ribosomal RNA". It matches the Rfam family "Bacterial small subunit ribosomal RNA", at positions 524 to 776 of the family's 1533-position model. The record is from RNAcentral.